Molecule: ribosomal RNA, 406 nt
Filed under: uncultured prokaryote
Also listed under: 1 other name
Description: bacterial SSU rRNA
Rfam family: Bacterial small subunit ribosomal RNA
Source: RNAcentral
UGGGGGAUAUUGCACAAUGGAGGAAACUCUGAUGCAGCAACGCCGCGUGAAGGAAGAAGGCCUUCGGGUUGUAAACUUCUGUCCUCAGUGACGAAGUUCUGACGGUAACUGAGGAGGAAGCCACGGCUAACUACGUGCCAGCAGCCGCGGUAAUACGUAGGUGGCAAGCGUUAUCCGGAAUUACUGGGUGUAAAGGGUGCGUAGGCGGCUUGUAAAGUCAGAUGUGAAAUACCGGGGCUUAACCCCGGAGCUGCAUUUGAAACUUACAGGCUUGAGUGAAGUAGAGGUAAGCGGAAUUCCUAGUGUAGCGGUGAAAUGCGUAGAUAUUAGGAGGAACACCAGUGGCGAAGGCGGCUUACUGGGCUUUAACUGACGCUGAGGCACGAAAGCAUGGGUAGCAAACAGG